This 499-nucleotide ribosomal RNA is filed under the name uncultured Glomeromycotina. RNAcentral describes it as "partial small subunit ribosomal RNA". It matches the Rfam family "Eukaryotic small subunit ribosomal RNA", at positions 591 to 1092 of the family's 1831-position model. Lineage: Eukaryota; Fungi; Glomeromycota. The record is from RNAcentral.
CCAAUAGCGUAUAUUAAAGUUGCUGCAGUUAAAAAGCUCGUAGUUGAAUUUCGGGACCGAUAUGUCGGUCGUGCCUCGGUACGUACUGGUAUUUUCGGUUUCUCCCUUCUGACGAACCUUGAUGUCAUUAAUUUGGUGUCUUGGGGAAUCAGGACUGUUACUUUGAAAAAAUUAGAGUGUUUAAAGCAGGCUCACGCUUGAAUACAUUAGCAUGGAAUAAUGAAAUAGGACGUUUGAUUCUAUUUUGUUGGUUUCUAGGAUCGACGUAAUGAUUAAUAGGGAUAGUUGGGGGCAUUAGUAUUCAAUUGUCAGAGGUGAAAUUCUUGGAUUUAUUGAAGACUAACUACUGCGAAAGCAUUUGCCAAGGAUGUUUCCAUUAAUCAAGAACGAAAGUUAGGGGAUCGAAGACGAUCAGAUACCGUCGUAGUCUUAACCAUAAACUAUGCCGACUAGGGAUCGGAUGAUGUUAAUUUUUUAAUGACUCAUUCGGCGCCUUACG